RNAcentral lists this ribosomal RNA (254 nucleotides) under uncultured prokaryote. RNAcentral's name for it is "partial 16S ribosomal RNA". It matches the Rfam family "Bacterial small subunit ribosomal RNA", at positions 525 to 777 of the family's 1533-position model. The record is from RNAcentral.
ACGGAGGGUGCGAGCGUUGUUCGGAAUUAUUGGGCGUAAAGCGCACGUAGGCGGCCCGUUAAGUCUCUUGGUGAAAGGCCGGGGCUCAACCCCGAGCAUGCCGGGGAUACUGGGGGGCUGGAGACAGGUAGAGGCCAGCGGAAUUCCGGGUGUAGCGGUGGAAUGCGUAGAGAUCCGGAAGAACACCGGAGGCGAAGGCGGCUGGCUGGACCUGAUCUGACGCUGAGGUGCGAAAGCGUGGGGAGCGAACAGGA